Rhipicephalus sanguineus (brown dog tick) is the source of this 5057-nucleotide long non-coding RNA. RefSeq lists it as uncharacterized. NCBI's taxonomy places the organism in Eukaryota, Metazoa, Arthropoda, Arachnida, Ixodida, Ixodidae. The record is from RefSeq and is a predicted model, not a curated record. The transcript has 5 exons.
UUUUCUUUGGUUUGCUGUGUGUACAAUGCACUCUCUAUGUUUAUUAGUGGAUGCAUGGGUAAGGCCACUUCUCGUGCUUUAGGUUAAGCGGCCCUGGCGCUGUGACUGCUAUUAGUUGGGAUACCUUAAUUUACUAGCAACCAUUCGAGUUAUCGUGCAGUAUGCAACACUGCAAAAAUGAACUCUCUAUUUUGGGCUUCUUUCUGUCCCGCAACAAAAAUUGACAUCUAUCUCGCGUGUCCUUCCUUGCAUUAUCGUCGUUCUCAUAGGCGGUACUCCAAGUUCACGAACAGCAUGUGUACUGUCAAUGUGGCAUAGCAUUGUUAAUAGGAACAUGACGAGCACCCAGCUUUGAGAAAAAAAAUUUUUUGUGCAAUCUGCAGGGGAAGAGCCCAUCGCUUUCAAGGCAUUUUAUCUUGGUCACUAUCGAAAGUGCACCGUGUGGUACGGGCUGUACCUGCACACUCAUUAACUACUUCACUCUAUCUGCCAAUGGACGUGCAACAAUGGCUAACGCAUUUUUUUUUUCUUUUUUCGUAGUCGUGGUCGUGCCCACUCAAGCGGGAGCUUCGCAUCUCCAGCGGCAAAUGCAGUUAUAUCGAUGGUGUAUGCGGCCAGUGUAAGCAUGCAGCGGCCGUGUACGUACACAUAAACACUUGUGAAGAUGACAGCUGCACAAACCAACCUCAGCAGUGGGGGAAAGCCCAAAGGGAAGCGUCGGAUCCAGCGAUCACAGCACUUGGCAUACAAAUUUCCUAAUGAUUCUACAACGCAGAAAAGAGAUUUUUUGGCCGAAAUGACAGCUGAUCAGAGGGAAAUAUACCAAGCAAAGACAUCUCUAGAGCAAACCCCAGUUGACUUAGCGUUACUGACCCAAGGACAGUCAACGUGUACACGGUGGCAUCAGGAGCGGAAACUGCGUCUCAGCAGCACCAAAGCCCACAUGAUUCGGACAAAGAAAGAUGACCAAGGGCUCUGGAAAGCUGCUCAGCAACUUCUUAAAUCCAGCUCCUACAAGAGCGCUGCCAUGUGCUAUGGAAUCAGAGCCAAGAGGACCUGGAAAGGAGGCUUGGCACAAGUACUAUAGUGCAGACUGGACUGGUGGUUCUUCCUGAGCAACCUUGGCUGUGCUGCAGCCCUGAUGGCCUUGUACAGCUUGAUAGUGAGACUGUCCUGAUUGAAAUCAAGUGCUCAUAUAAAUUGAAAGAUUCACCAUUUAUUAGGUAUGAAGAGCGGCACUGCAAGCUUCCGUACUUGAUCUUCAUUGAUGACAUAAUUGAAUUAAGAAAGUCACAUCAGUACUACACUCAGAUACAGGUCCAAAUGUAUAUUCUUCACUUGCAGAGAGCACUACUUUUUGCAAUGAUUCCACUCCUGCGCCAACUGCGCCAAAGUGCGCCAAAUGGCAUUUAGUGCGCCAUCCUGAUAAUAUCGACGAAAAUUGCGCCAAACUGCGCCAAAGUCUGGGGUUUGGGGGCGUCUAUCACUGGCAAUUGCACCGCCUGCGCGUCAGAACAUGUGCAGAUUGAUCUUAGGGCUGACAAAGUCACAACCAUGGACCGAGAAUUAUUCCGCUGAAUAAAUCGCGCUCGCGCGUGCGUCCCAAGUAAGCCACAAUGCCAUGCAUAGUGCCGACGCAGCUUCUGUUCUGCAAGUCGGCUCGACAGCAAAACGCGCUCUCCAUAGAGGCUCGUGACGUCUAGGCCUAUCGGUAGCGAGAAAGUGCGACGGCGAUUCAUCGGUGGACGUCGUCUGCUCCAGAAACGCUUCUGAUAGCUCGUUUCAAGCAUCGCACGGCACGCAAGGAAAGCAAUGUUCAGUAAUACCUACAUGCGUGCCGCUAAAAUGUCUGUCACUUCUGUUUCUGUACAUCGCGGAAUGAAUUCUGGGAUCGCUAGCAGUAGAUAUGUGGAAUGAUAUCGAAUUUUUCUUGCUUCGCGUUUAUGGAAGAGCACGCGAGGAACGCGUUGACACUUUUCCUCAGAUAUACUUUAUCCAUGGAUCUUCAUCCAGAAGAGCUUUUUCGUAAUUCCUUCCACCAGCACAUCCGAGUUCGUAAUCACUCUGUUGUAAAUACCCCCUAAAAGGCCCUGCCCUUUUGAGCUCACGUGCUAGGGUUCGAAUUCGAAUUUUGCUUGCUUUUUUAAAAAUGUAAUCUCAUUAUUAAAGCAUAUCUCCUGGUAGGAGCAGCCGCAAAUGCGCAGCUGUCAGUAGCGGGCCUGUCCCUGACGGCCCACAGUGAAGCGGCUACGCCAUGUUACACGUCCGCCCCUCGCUUUCGAGGGUCAAUAGCUGACGGUUAAAAAAACUCAGUUUCACUUAAGGCCGAAACAAUGAAUGCGAUACCAACAAAUUGUAUUGUUCAACGAAGUAAGGCUAGCAGCUAACUCUUUUGGAUCCGAUCUCGUGUAAUUCAACAAAACGCUGGUUUAAGGGAAUAUGGCCACCCCAGGAACCGAAGCGUUUUCGUGCUCUGAGUUUUCUAAACGCGAAGUAAGCGUUGAGACCACAGCAAGAUUACGAACCGUCUCCUGAUGCCUCGAGAUAGCGCGCGUGCAAGCUACUGCGCCCUUCGAACGAUGCAUUCCCCUCCUCCCCCCCCGCUCCCCUGGCGCCCCUUCGUGCUCUUUACGAAAGACGGGCGGGGCGUUUCCUCUCUGUUUAAUGAGCAAUCAACGGCAGGCCCGCACGCGGGAAAAUGUUAUCUCAUGCGCUCUUCGUGCGACGGAGACAGACGGCCGGCUAGUUUUAUCUCCGCUUCAGCCGUAUUCGUCGCCAGCGCUCGCGAGCUUUUACCCGCGGCUAGAAUGCGCGUGGUGAUGUUAUUAAUUUGGACUUUAUACGAAAAAUUACGGCAACGGCGACGGCAAAAUUCCGCCGAGAGUGUCCAUAUAUUUGCUAUCACAAUAAAAAUUAAAAAUAAAUUGAGCAGCCAUUUUACUCUGUGAAGUGGAUGAUAAGCGAAGCUAUAUCGCGCAUGGCACAGAUGUGACAUGGUGGAGAACAGUUUGGUAUGUAAGGCCAGGUUGUCAACCGCCAAGCUGUUAACGUUCAAUAUGCAAUAUGAAUGCGAAAGCCUUAGAUGCUUUAUCAAACACGAAAAUUGACCGUCGGCGGCGUCAAUCGAUUGAUGCAAAAAAUAAUCAUGUGAUUGCGUUAUCAUCACGUCAUAGCUCAUCAAAACUUGUGACGUCAUCAUUGCCUCAUAUAUCGUGAUGUCACUUGAUGACAUCAUCAUAGGACAUCGUCGCUUUACACUGCUUCCGUGAUCGGUGCGCCGAUCAUGGAGCUAGCGCAAAAGCAGGUGAGGUGCACAAAGCUUGCAGAGAGGGAAGGGGAGGAUCUACCUGUCGAUCGAGAAGAAAAAGAACCUGGCUUUCGCCUUGGAGUUUUCUUAGGGGAAUGCAUUAGGGACAGUGUGGCUCUUUGGCAUUGAGGCACUGCUGUACAUCACGGCGUUUGUCUACCAUGUCUGCUGAUAGCCACGUAGGUGUAUUUAGAGUGUUAUUUCAUAAAAUACAAUUUUAUUGAUCCGGAUUUCCGUUUACUCUUAUUUUUUCAUUAGCGAGUGAAGUAUGGAGUUCUCCUGAGAUGAUUUUUUCCAUGAUACUUGCAAUGAAUCAAAAUAUUUCUAGCCUUCAUAAGAGCCCAAUAAUAAUAUUCAGGGGCUUCAGUGUUAAUGCAAUAUGCUUCUGUAGUGCACUCCAGGAUGUAAAAUUUGCUGCUCCAGAGUGCUCCCAGAUGCAAAAUUAUCUGCUCCAAAGUGCUCCAAGAUGAAAAUAUUUGCUGCUCCAAAGUGCUCCAAAACGGAAAUUUUGCUGCUCCAAAAAUUGCUCCAAAUCAGAAGUCCUCGGUGGCAUCACUGCUUUUUGUGUACAGUUCAAAUCAGUCUGUCAUAGUUGCUGUGAAGAGGGAUGAAGAAUUUUUGUGGGAACUCAUCCCUAAAAUGGAGUAUUUUUAUUUAAAGUUUUUUUGUUUUCGCCAUUUUUUAGAAUUGCUUUCCUUCAAAUAACGCGCCGUAUGCUUUACCAAUUCAGCUACGGUGGCGCCGUCCAUCGGCUGUUUAAGUGCGUGCAAUCUUGAGUGUGUCAGUCAGCGCCGCUCUUAUCCAUGAUGGCAAGUGUGUACUACUCUUUCUUGCCAGCAGGCGUCACGCAGUUCGUGAUCUAACAAAAGUACAGAAAGACAGUGUUUAGAUCUACAAUACUAGCGGUCGAGUUGGAAUGACUAUGCCACAGCUUUGCAAAUAUGAAUACAGUGCCUCCAAUACGAUGUGUGGUAUAUGACUAUAGGCCAAGUGCAAUACCGUUAGCUACAUGUGGCUCAAAAGGAGAUAUGCACUUUCAUCAAUUAUAUGAAUUGUGUUGCUUUCAGGAUUAACCCAUCUUGCUAGAAACUUCAAAGACUAUAUUUAUUUGUAUGUUGCUAUCAGUUGGGUGUGCACGGAUUAGCCAGAGCUUGGAGAAUGCGAUCGCAGCACAUUUAUGAUGUGCAAUGUCUCAGAAAGGAAAACUGAGCUAGUUGGUAUGGAUUCUGCUUAGUACUGUGCAGCGCUCACAAAAAGAACAAAGGACGGAAGCCUUUGUCCUUUUUGUGAGCGCUGCAUGGUGCUAAGCAUGAUUUGCAAUGUGUCUAGUCUAUGUGAAACCUUUCCUUGAACUGUUCUGAAUAGAGCAGUUGCAGUGACUUUUAUGUCUGAUGUUCCGAUGUGAGGUUUUAAUGUUCCUGAAUUUUGCCAUAUAGUACUUUGCAUAUUUAGAUUUAGGUAUGUUAAAUGAAAAUGGAAAGUUGUGCUAUGCAUUUUUCAAAGCUGGGUGACAAAACAAACUAACGUGCAGUAUUUAGUUCCAAAGCAACCUUGCGCAUACCAUUUUACGCACGCUAGCUGUGGGCGAUGUUGAGAUUUUGACAAGCAGUUCACGUAAGCAUUUGCUUUUGCCUUUAAAAUUGGGUUAGAAAACAUUUCGAUUUUGCGAGAAUGCACUGUACAUGGUUUUUUACAUGUUGUAGCAUUUCACAAAGUGUUCUUUUAUAUGACUCAAAAUAAAGGUUUGAAA